UUACUAAAAUGUAUGAGUUGACGUUUGAAACGGCAUUCUGUAGUGUAAAUCACGUCGAAUUUCGGCAAGAACUUCGCAUCGCAAAAUCAUUUUAUUUGUCAAAUCAAAAGUUAGUGUUUUAAGUGUUUGUUGUGAGUGAGAAUAUACGAAAACGUUAUAAACCGCUGUUAAUUAUUAAAAAAAUACUAUUAAUUAACAAAAUUGCACUUUAAAAUAACUUUAUUCUUCAUCGAUAUUUUAUGGAGCGUAUGUUUUUAUUGAAAACAUUGUUGAAAAGGCUGACGCUACGGAUCAGCGUGAAAUGCGUCGACAAGCCUACGAAAUUCACAAUUUAUCACUUUUAACUUGAGAUGACGACUAUGUAAAAGUAUAAAGAAAGUGUAUAGAUUGUCGAAGGAUCAUAUGAACCAGUUAGGGUGUGAAUUACACCCUUUGACGAAGACCACUAAAAGCCAUUGAAAAGGACUUUCAACUCUUCUAAAGUUUCAGUUAUUGUGCACCUUGUUUAUUUGGGCAAAUGAAGUUACCAAAAAAAUCAUAAAAGAAAAUAUAAGAACAUAUUUGUCCCAGAUAUCCCAGUGUAUAUCUGAGGUUGUGGAGGCUCUGAACAACCCAGCAACUAUAUAUAAAUAUUUAAGAUUCCCGCAGAAUGCUCAAGAAUGGCAAAAGUUGAAGGAAAACUGAAGAAAAAAGAAGAAGGUGGUUUAAACUAAAUAAAUAUUUUUUUUCUUCAUAAAAAAGUACCAAUAUUAAUCUAAUGCUAAAUAUUGCAGUUUUUGUAAAAAAAUUAAAAUCACUUUGGUUGUUGGGUGUAUUGAUGGGACGUUGGUGGCCUUAAAAAGACCUGCUACCAAUAAAAAAUGGUUUUACUGUCACAAAGGCUAUCAUGCCAGAAAAUGUACAAUUUGUAAAGCCAUUAAUAUUUUUCGAAAUUCUGAUGAUAUGUAAUCCAUAAACGAAAUGUGUAUUAUAAACUAUGUAUUCAGAUUGUAUUCAUUUCAGUUAAAUUGAAUUGUGUAUAUUGCUUUAAAGUUAUUGUGAAAUUUAGUAUUUAUAUUAAAUAAACUUUAUUCAGUUAUAAAAAAAA
Molecule: long non-coding RNA, 1087 nt
Organism: Bombyx mandarina (wild silkworm)
Lineage: Eukaryota; Metazoa; Arthropoda; Insecta; Lepidoptera; Bombycidae
Source: RefSeq, a predicted model, not a curated record